This is a long non-coding RNA of Alosa sapidissima (American shad), 241 nucleotides long. RefSeq lists it as uncharacterized. The record is from RefSeq and is a predicted model, not a curated record. NCBI's taxonomy places the organism in Eukaryota, Metazoa, Chordata, Actinopteri, Clupeiformes, Clupeidae. The transcript is spliced from 3 exons.
UGAGUACACUACCCAGCACCAGGGUAACUUUAACACAGCUGCAUAAUUAUUUGAGAGUUCGGGGGAAAUCGUUAUUCUUUCAACCGUCCAUGCAGUCCAGCAGCUGUCAACAUGCAGUGGAAAUCAGGCGAUUUCGGAAGGUAUGUAUCUGCUUUUAACUUUUUUUUAUUAUUAUUCAGACGGAUUUUAAAAGUCCACCCAGAGAGAGAUACCCUUCGCAUUGCUCAGUCCGAGGGGCGGG